ACUACAACAGCAGGUAGAUCCUUGCAGCAGAAUAGUGCACCAGUGACUAGCUGGCAUGCAGGCAUCAGCUUUUGAAAACAUUUUCUUGAUUAGUUCACUGAAAGAAAUCUAAAGGAGAGAUGGAAGGCAUACAUUCUCAGAUGGCAUUGGAAAAUAGUUACUCUAAAUCACAAAGAUCUGAAUACUAUUGUCAGUCACACAGAUAUAAAUGUUGAAGUAACUCAGUUAAACUUACUAAAGUUACACUGGUGUAACUAAUGGCAGAACUGGGCUUGAUACAUGUUUCUUACAUCUUGUAGACUUUGCCAGUAUGUAUAGUUUGUGCACCGGAGGUCGCUAGUGCACCUCCCCCUCUUUCCUCUGCCCCCUGCUUGUCUCCUGUUUUGAAUUUGGUUGGUGACUGCAAAUUUAGGUUAGCACCGACUGACUGCUCAAGCAUCAGCUCCUGCUGUGAGUGGAAUUGACUAAACGUACAAGAUACCUGCUAAAUAAAUUUCACAGCAGUUUCUCCAACUCCCAUUUUAGGAACUAAUUGUCAAUCAAAUAGACAUUGAGAAAAUGAUAGUUUAACAUCCAUUCAUUUGUUUUGUGAGCUGGCAGCCCACUAAUGAAUGAAAGCCACUCUGUCAUCUGGCCCACUUUCUUUAAAUCAGUUGUUACCACCAGUUUGAGAAUCACUGAUCAAAAACAAAAAGGGUAGAUUAAGAAACUGCAUUUCUUUAGCCUCAUUAAAAAUGCUCUUAAUCUCUGCAGCAAACAUAUGGGGCAGGAAAAUAACUUCUUAAGGGAGGUAACCUAAAUGGUAGUUCAUCCUUGCCAGAGGUUUUUGCUUAAUCCAUCAGUAUACUCAAUAUUGCCUUUUGAUCAACAAGAAAAAUACAAAACUUCUGAGCAACUUAUUCAUCAAACUAAUCAAUCAGGCAACCAUUUAAUUCUGAGCUCUGACAAAUACUGUAUUGACAACUCAGCUCCAUAACUGGACUCAACCUGCUGUUUUUAUUAGAGAUGGCCAGAGCUGAGGAAACUCAGAUACAAACUUCCUGAAGUGUGAGCUGACUUAGGUAUGGGGUCCUGGUUCAAGUCUGUCAUUAGUGUUGAUUUUUAAUGACUAUGAAAGUAAUAAAACAUUUUAAAUAAUAUAUUUAGUCAGUUUAAUUUUAAACUUUUAUAACAUACUGAGAAGGAUGGUCCAGUUCCUCCUACAGAUGUAUCAAUGUUACAUGAAUGUGAAUUGUCUUUUUUAGACCUGUAAUAUACAAAAUUGUAGGCAUGCUUCCAAAAUAUACAUACUGCAUAUUAUGGCAUUUCUGUGAUUUAGUCAUCACAAUAAUACUUUAAUUUAGUCUACCAGUUAGUUUUCUUCACAUUGGAUACUUUUUGAAUUCUGGGUAAUGGAUAUAAUAAGGAACUAGUUCCACAAUAUUUCAAAUCAUUCCACACAUCUCAGUCCACCAUCUGCUUCUUGGCUUCUUUUUUGCACUAAGGAAAAAGAUACAAAGCGAUGAGGGUUAUGAUUGUUGUUGGCGCUAUGAUCAUAGUGUCAAUCUCAGUAUCAGCAUAUAAACCCUCUUCAAAGCCAAUGUUUUGGGGUGUUGUUGGCAUCUUGAUGUCAAGUGCCUAUAUUGACUGACUUUUGCUUCUGACCCUGAUGUCAAGUUAUUCCAGAUGUUUUCAAAAUCUGAUGCCUGAACACUAGAUGCUUUGGCAUUGGGUAUGUCAGCAGUGAGCUUUUCUAUGUUAUUGCCAUGGCAUUAGGCAUGUGAGCCUCAGGCAUUGAAUAAUUGGGUCCAAGUGUUGACUACUACCCAUGUCAUCUCUACCAUUAAGAUAAGCACUGGCCAUGGAUUGAGCCCCAUUAGAAAUGUCUCUUCUUAGUCCUAUUCUUCCUGGGGCCUGAGUAGAGGAACCUCUCAUGUUUCUGCUUUCUAUUGGUAAAAUUUUCAAAAGUGCCUAACUCCUGUUGACUUUCAGUGAGGCUUAGGCUUCUAAGUCACUUUGAAAAUUUAGCCUAUACCUGAGUCCUGCAGUCUUUUUUAAAGUAAAAUUCCUCAGACUUUAGGUCUGGGGACUACUUAUUAACCACUUAAAGCAGGGAGCCUUGCAGGGAAUGCUUGAAGAAUGUGUGGUUACUUACCAUAGUUGUUCUUUGAGAUGAUAGGGCAAAUCCAGGCAACCAACCUGCCAUGCUGCCCCACUAUUUUAUAAUCUUUCAAGAGAUGCUUGAGUUUAUAGAAGGAACAGAGUGGUGUUUGGGCUGUAAAGACAUAGGCAGUUGCACAAGAGUUGUACACUUGUCUGGCCUGUACAAUGGCAAUGCCCGUAGAACCACUGUUUCUGGUAGGAAAAUGUUCCUUUUGCAUAUAUAUUAAAUAAAAAAUAAUUAUGCUUUGUUCUACAUCUUUUUACAUCUCCUUUUAGAAGCAGCUAACGGCUGAUGCUUUAACAAGUCAGUCCUUCACUUUUCUUUGUAUAGACAAGCAAAGGCUAGAGGCUGAGUGACAUUAACUGAAAUGUACUGUUGUGAAUGUUUUUCUGUUUAGAGGUCUUUGAAGUAAAGAUCAGAAAUUAUUCUCUCACACACACGCCUCUGAUGUUUUCAAGUGGUACUGCUCUGAUACAACAUAUAUAAACCCUGAACAUAAAAAGUAUGAUUGUUUUCAGCAUUAUCUAAUUAAAUGAGAAAUCUGGAGAAUGAACAGAAUGAUUUGCUACUUCCAGAUUAAUUAUGCAUCUAUAAAUCUAUUGUAAAACUCACCACAAGGUUAAUUAGCUGUAACUCAUGGCAUUGAUCCUAAUAAAUACCAACAAUUUUAACCUGUUCAUAAUGCAGCUCAUAAAGAACUUGCCCUGCUGUACCUAUUGAAAAGCCAGGAGGCGAGCAGGUGCAAGCCAGUCUUGCUCUGCUGUAGUUGAAGGUAACAUAACUAUUGAAAAUGAAAUUUAAUGGAAACUGUUACUUCAGGAUUUGAGUAUCUUAAUUUAAGUGAAACAUCUAUGUUAAAAAUGAGAGUACAUAUUAAUAACUUAAGAGUAAUUGACAUUCUUGGCAAUGAAAGUCUGCAGAUCCAUUACAGUGGGUUUUUCACCUGCUUGCAGUUCCUUAGAGGCGGAACCAGACUUGUAAAUCAAUGCAGACUGGGACUAGCCACACCCCUGAAGACCUUAUCAGUUCAGUCUGCCUCCAGCAGCUGCGGCUAUCCACUGCACAAGCCCACUGUGCCCUGCUGAGGGAGCCAUCCAGCCUCCGCAUACUGCAAGUCACUAUACCCCACAGUUGGCCAUAGAGAGAGAAGAGUGAGAGCAGCCCAGAUCUGCAAGCAGAUGCGAUGCAUCUCUGUGCCAGAAGAGCAGUUAAACUAGUCUCCAUGGUUUAACUGUCUUCCCCAGUGGUUGGAACAUGGGUACUCUGCCAUAACGGUACACAUGGUCAAGGAUGCUUUGGAAAGUAAACACUGACCUGGAAGGAACACACAUUGUCUGUGUUUCUGAACACUCCGUCCACACAGCUUUCUUUGCUUUAAAGGUGAAUAUUAGAUGUUAAAUGCCACACGCGUUAGAAAAAAAGAGAGACAGAAUCUGAGUUAAACUCUGCCUCGUUGUCUGCAUUGCAAAUAAAUUAUCUUCUUUAUGGAGCUGCACAGAAUUGUGCAUGA
Molecule: long non-coding RNA, 3653 nt
Organism: Gopherus evgoodei (Goodes thornscrub tortoise)
Lineage: Eukaryota; Metazoa; Chordata; Testudines; Testudinidae
Exons: 3
Source: RefSeq, a predicted model, not a curated record